ACUGGGCUCAGUAACGAGGGCCUGUAACCCAGGUGGGAGUACUAAGAUGGUGGGAGAUUAUUAUAACAUGAAGAGUCAAAUGAACGGAUAUUUGGGGUUAGUAAGGUCUAAUAUGAGGGCCAGUCCAAAUACCACUCUGGUAGAGUUUAAAACCCUCUACCCGUUUGGGUAUUCUCUCAACUGACUUAACAGAGCAGUUGUAGCAGGAGUUCACUAUCUUUGGUGGCAUUAAGGUGGAUCUCAUAUUAGACAUCUAUCCUCCAAAUACCUUAUAAUAAUACCAACCAUUAUCUUU
RNAcentral lists this non-coding RNA (295 nucleotides) under Solanum lycopersicum (tomato). Lineage: Eukaryota; Viridiplantae; Streptophyta; Magnoliopsida; Solanales; Solanaceae. The record is from RNAcentral.